This 435-nucleotide long non-coding RNA is filed under the name Eutrema salsugineum. Its description in RNAcentral is "long non-coding RNA (ESAL_LNC002048)". The record is from RNAcentral. Lineage: Eukaryota; Viridiplantae; Streptophyta; Magnoliopsida; Brassicales; Brassicaceae.
UUUGAUCAAAUCGAGGAAAACCACUAAAACCUUCCACAAAUGCUGGAAACAUUAGGACAAUAUCAAUUUUAAAACAUUAGGAAUGGAGAAUAAAAUUUAAAACAUUUCAAGAAACACAUGAUUAUUGGUGGAAGUGAAAUUACUUGAUUAAGAGUCCACAUUUGGUGCGUCGAACGGAGCUCGAGAUAAGGGAUCGAAACGUGCUUGAAUGAUCUUGGUGAUUCAGAAGAAUGUAAUCGGACAUUCCUCUCUUUCCAUAUUGAGUAGUUACGUGCUUGCAAAGCCAACUUUAAAAUGAGAGAUGUAUUUUGGAUAAGUUGAAGAUGACUUACCUAGAUGUGAAGUAGAAAGUUAUUCUUACAACUAAUCCCUCAAGACUGUUUUAUAUAAAUUUUGUUUGAACUCCACUUUAUAGAAGUAAGAACCGAAUCCUGA